RNAcentral lists this long non-coding RNA (1063 nucleotides) under Phoenix dactylifera (date palm). Its description in RNAcentral is "long non-coding RNA (PDAC_LNC006892)". Lineage: Eukaryota; Viridiplantae; Streptophyta; Magnoliopsida; Arecales; Arecaceae. The record is from RNAcentral.
CUCUCUUUUUCCAACUCAUAAGAUAUCUUAGAGUGACUAAUUAUAUACGAAGCUAUCCAUUCUACAGUUCUAUUUAUCUUUUUUAAAACAUAUUUCACCUGAAGGACCAUGCCACUACUCGACAUAUUUCGAAUGUCUCAUAACAGUAAGUGACCCCCUUCACCACUGCCGAUACCAUCCUGAUUUUGAUUCAGGCCAGCCAUUAGGCCGAGCCUAGUUAUGUUCUUUGAUUUGGUUAGACUAACCCUGGCUUAUUACCAGCUUGCCAAGCGAGUGGAUAAUUAGUGUGAGGUUACAUGAAUAGAUGUGAUUGCUAUAAGAAAUUCGAUUAUUUAUCUAACUUCAUAAAUAUAUUUUCAUAUUUGGCUGCAUCACUUCUCUCGUUUUUUUUAAAUGAUAUAUUAGCGGAGAUUGGGAGUUGUCAUGCCAACGAGUUUAGGCUUGUGAUUCAAAAUUGCAUCCAUAUCCAAUUGACCAAACAUCUCCAUCGACAUUUGUACCAACAACAAAAAAAAAAGUCUCCAUGGACAUCGACUGUCGGGUUGAAUAAUCCUUUUAGAGAUUUAGAGAGAGAGAGAGAGAGAGACCCCAAAAUCAUCAUGAGUAAACCGAAUGCAAGCGUUCAGACGUCAUUAUUUUUUUUCUAUUAAUCAACUCCCUAAUGUUUCUUUCAUGUUUAUAUUGGACGAUCAGAUAAGCCCUUAUAGUUGAUGAAUCUAUACAUUUAGACUCUGUUUCUUCGGUUUUAAUUUUACGUUUUUAUUUCAAAAAAUACUGCAAUAAUAGUCUAAAUCCAUUAGUACCAUAAAUCUGUGGGAUUUAUUUGUAAACUUACCUGUUAUAUCCUGCCAUUCGGAAGAGUAACUAUAGGGAAGCAAAAGCACUUUUCAAAUAGGAAAGUAAUGAUUUGAUCAAGAGUUUUAAGAUGAGUUAAUAUUCAUUAUUUGCAGCGCCUUACAGUUUGUUAAGGUAGGUUAAUAAUUUAAUUCAUUGGCUAACGAGAAAGUAGGCGGUUUCACGAUGCCCGGAGAGGAAAGAAAUAUUUUUUAUAUAAAAGUGCAUU